GGCGUGCUUAACACAAGCAAGUCGAACGAUGAACCAGGGCUUGCCCUGGGGAUUAGUGGCGAACGGGUGAGUAACACGUGGGCAACCUGCCCCAGACACCGGGAUAACCUCUCGAAAGAGUGGCUAAUACCGGAUACGACCACUUUGGGCAUCCAACGGUGGUGGAAAGGAUUCUGGUCUGGGAUGGGCCCGCGGCAUAUCAGCUUGUUGGUGGGGUAAUGGCCUACCCAGGCGACGACGGGUAGCCGGCCUGAGAGGGCGACCGGCCACACUGGGACUGAGACACGGCCCAGACUCCUACGGGCGGCAGCAGUGGGGGAUAUUGCGCAAUGGGCGAAAGCCUGGCGCAGCGACGCCGCGUGGGGGACGAAGGUCUUCGGAUUGUAAACCUCUUUCAGCAGGGACGAAGCGAAAGUGACUGUACCUGCAGAAGAAGCACCGGCUAACUACGUGCCAGCCGCCGCCGUAA
Molecule: ribosomal RNA, 469 nt
Filed under: uncultured bacterium
Lineage: Bacteria
Description: partial 16S ribosomal RNA
Rfam family: Bacterial small subunit ribosomal RNA
Source: RNAcentral